GAGCAACAGGGAUUGCCCCAGUAACGGCGAGUGAAGCGGCAGGAGCUCAAAUUUGAAAUCUGGGGCCCCCGGCCUCCGAGUUGUAAUUUGGAGAGGCUCCUUCGGGGGGGAGCGCUGGCCCAUGUUCCUUGGAACAGGACGUCGCAGAGGGUGAGAAUCCCGUGCCAGGCCGGCUGCCUCCUCCCGCGUGAAGGGCCUUCGACGAGUCGAGUUGUUUGGGAAUGCAGCUCCAAGCGGGUGGUAAAUUUCAUCUAAAGCUAAAUACCGGCGGGAGACCGAUAGCGCACAAGUAGAGUGAUCGAAAGAUGAAAAGCACUUUGAAAAUAGAGUCAAAAAGUACGUGAAAUUGUUGAAAGGGAAGCGCUUGAGACCAGACUCAGACCCAGGCAAACACCGCGCCCCCAGGGGCCGUGCAAUUGCCCGGUGCUGGGCCAGCAUCAGUUGGCGUGGCGGGACAAGGGCGCGGGAAAUGUGGCUCCCCUCGGGGAGUGUUACCAGGCCCGCGCCGGAUGCCGCCGACGCCGACUGAGGACCGCGCCUCGGCUAGGAUGCUGGCUUAAUGGCCUUCAGCGACCCGUCUUGAAACACGGACCAAGGAGUCUAACAUCUAUGCGAGUGUUUGGGCGCCAAACCCUUGCGCGGAAUGAAAGUGAGCGGAGGUGGGAACCCCUCAACCGGGCGCACCAUCGACCGAUCCUGAUGUCUUCGGAUGGAUUUGAGUAGGAGCAUAGCUGUUGGGACCCGAAAGAUGGUGAACUAUGCCUGAAUAGGGUGAAGCCAGAGGAAACUCUGGUGGAGGCUCGCAGCGGUUCUGACGUGCAAAUCGAUCGUCAAAUUUGGGUAUAGGGGCGAAAGACUAAUCGAACCAUCUAGUAGCUGGUCUGC
This 885-nucleotide ribosomal RNA is filed under the name Helvella zhongtiaoensis. RNAcentral's name for it is "eukaryotic LSU rRNA". It matches the Rfam family "Eukaryotic large subunit ribosomal RNA", at positions 56 to 959 of the family's 3401-position model. Lineage: Eukaryota; Fungi; Ascomycota; Pezizomycetes; Pezizales; Helvellaceae. The record is from RNAcentral.